UCAAACAAGAAAGAGCGCAGGGUGGAUGCCUUGGCACUAAGAGCCGAUGAAGGACGUGAUAAGCUGCGAAAAGCUGCGGGGAGGAGCAAAUAUCCAUUGAUCCGCAGGUAUCCGAAUGGGGAAACCCACCUGGAUAGACUCCAGGUAUCCAUACGCCAAUCCAUAACGUAUGGAAGGGAACCCGGUGAACUGAAACAUCUAAGUAGCCGGAGGAAAAGAAAGAAAACUCGAUUCCCAGAGUAGCGGCGAGCGAAAUGGGAGGAGCCUAAACCAGCGUGCGUGCAUGCUGGGGUUAUGGACUGCAUAAGUUACCGGAAAGGAUAGUGGAAUGGUUUUGGGAAAGCCAGCCAGAGAGGGUGAAAGCCCCGUACACGAAAUCCGGACCGGGACGGCAGGAUCCAGAGUACCACGAGACACGUGGAACCUUGUGGGAAGUCGGGGGGACCACCCCCCAAGGCUAAAUACUCCUUAGUGACCGAUAGCGCAUAGUACUGUGAAGGAAAGGUGAAAAGGACCCCGGGAGGGGAGUGAAAGAGAACCUGAAACCCUGUGUUUACAAGCUGUGGGAGCACCUUAUGAGUGCGACCGCGUACUUUUUGUAGAACGGUCCGGCGAGUUACGCUGGCUGGCGAGGUUAAACGGUAGAGCCGUGGAGCCGAAGGGAAACCAAGUCUUAAGAGGGCGGAAAAGUCAGUCAGAGUAGACCCGAAACCGGGUGAUCUAUCCAUGUCCAGGUUGAAGUUGCCGUAAAAGGCAAUGGAGGACCGAACCCACAUCCGUUGAAAAGGGUGGGGAUGAGGUGUGGAUAGGGGAGAAAUUCCAAUCGAACCCGGAGAUAGCUGGUUCUCCUCGAAAUAGCUUUAGGGCUAGCCUCGAUAGAGUCUUGCGGAGGUAGAGCACUGAAUUUCCUAGGGGGCGUCAAAGCUUACCGAAGAAUAUCAAACUCCGAAUGCCGUGUAGAUGCUUAUCGGGAGUCAGACUAUACGAGAUAAGUUGGAUAGUCAAAAGGGAAAGAGCCCAGACCUCCAGCUAAGGUCCCAAAGUACGUGUUAAGUGGAAAAGGAUGUGGGAUUUCGAAGACAACCAGGAUGUUGGCUCAGAAGCAGCCAUACAUUCAAAGAGUGCGUAAUAGCUCACUGGUCGAGAGGUCCUGCGCCGAAAAUGUCCGGGGCUGAAACACGACACCGAAGCUGAGGAAUGUCUGAAGACAUUGGUAGAGGAGCAUUGGAUACGCAACGAAGCAGUACCGGAAGGAGCUGUGGAGUGUAUCGAAGAGAGAAUGCCGGAAUGAGUAGCGAGAGAGAGGUGGGAAUCCUCUCGGCCGAAUAUCUAAGGUUUCCAGGGUAAAGCUGAUCUGCCCUGGGUAAGUCGGGGCCUAAGGCGAGGACGAGAGUCGUAGCCGAUGGACAACAGGUUGAGAUUCCUGUACUGCAGUAAGACAGAACUGUGGGGACACGUGUGGAGAGCAUAGGCGCGGAAUGGAAAGCCGCGUGCAAGCGAGGUAGGAGUCCUGUAGGAAAAACCGCAGGGCAAUCCGAAGGCGUGAUGCGGACCGAAAUCUAGUAGGGAAGUAUGUGAGCCAUGCGUCAAGAAAAGCCGCUAUUGUUCUUAUUGUACCCGUACCGUAAACCGACACAGGUGGAUGAGGAGAGAAUCCUAAGGCCGACGGAAGAAGCAUUGUUAAGGAACUCGGCAAAAUGACCCCGUAACUUCGGGAGAAGGGGUGCCACAGAAAUGUGGCCGCAGAGAAUAGGCUCAAGCAACUGUUUAGCAAAAACACAGGUCUAUGCAAAACCGAAAGGUGAGGUAUAUGGGCUGACGCCUGCCCGGUGCUGGAAGGUUAAGAGGAGAGGUUAGCGCAAGCGAAGCUUUGAAUUGAAGCCCCAGUAAACGGCGGCCGUAACUAUAACGGUCCUAAGGUAGCGAAAUUCCUUGUCGGGUAAGUUCCGACCCGCACGAAAGGCGUAAUGAUUUGAGCGCUGUCUCGACAAUGCAUCCGGUGAAAUUGAAGUACCAGUGAAGAUGCUGGUUACCUGCGCCAGGACGGAAAGACCCCAUGGAGCUUUACUCCAGCUUGAUACUGGGAUUCGGUAUUGCAUGUACAGGAUAGGUGGGAGGC
Molecule: ribosomal RNA, 2119 nt
Filed under: human gut metagenome
Description: bacterial LSU rRNA
Rfam family: Bacterial large subunit ribosomal RNA
Source: RNAcentral